UGGACCAUUGAUGAGAAUGUGUCAUGAAUCCAAAAAUAUGAUUAUUGCAAUUCUUUGUGCUUGAGGUCCAAA
RNAcentral lists this small nucleolar RNA (72 nucleotides) under Pteropus vampyrus (large flying fox). RNAcentral's name for it is "Small nucleolar RNA SNORD112 (ENSPVAG00000028071.1)". Lineage: Eukaryota; Metazoa; Chordata; Mammalia; Chiroptera; Pteropodidae. The record is from RNAcentral.